Castor canadensis (American beaver) is the source of this 3969-nucleotide non-coding RNA. The record is from RefSeq and is a predicted model, not a curated record. Lineage: Eukaryota; Metazoa; Chordata; Mammalia; Rodentia; Castoridae.
GUCUUGAGCUUGCUGGGCAAGGGCUCUAACUCUUGAGCAACACCCCCAGCCCUCCUACUAGUUAUUAAAUAUUUUCAAGAAGGUGAAUCCUUGUUUAAAGUUUACAUCUUUUAGAUUCCACCCCCCCCUUUCUGUAUAAUGACUUUUUGGAGUUUAAUUUGUGAACUCUGAAUUGCAUUAAAUCCUGAAAGUUUAACAUGCAGGAUGCUCACAUUUGGACUGGAUUCCCCUAAAAUUUCAGUCACUCUUUUGUAUUCUUAGUACAUUCAAAAUAUAGUCCCAGUAAAACUAUACGUUUAGUGUUGUGCUACUGCAAAAAUAAAAGCAGGCGGUAAAUGUAGGCAUUGCUGAACAAUAAGCAUUUGAAUGCUUUUGAUAUUAGUGACAAGGAAGUUUACUUAUGGGUUGUUUCUCUUCCGGCUUUUCUGAUUCCAUCUCUUGGUGAUUUUCACAUCAGCGCUCUGAAUUUGAAUGUAACUAAAACUAUCUGCAGCUGUGUCCUAUAGUGCAGCGCUCAAUCUUGAUAGAGUCCGUAGGAAUCACUUGGGACGAUUGUUUAAAAACAUACCAAUUCAGUAGUAAAUGCACCUUGAUUAUUCUGCAUUUCUAAGGUGCAGCUGGACAAGACACUGUCCUGCAGUACCAGGGAUGUAGAUAACUUCUGUGCGAAGAAAUAAAAGUUUCUGUAAGUGAACAUGUUCCUUUUAGCAGUCCAGCCUGGCUGGAGAGGUGGAUUGGUAGAAGGGUCAAGUGACAGUGUACUGAGAAAGCUUGCGUAGGGAACUACCUUAUGGAGAGGGAGCCAAGUGUAGAUGCCAGGGAAGGGAAUAGGAGUGUAAAUACCUUGUCUAUGUGCUGUGUGGUGCCUUACAUCCACUGAUCUGUGAUUUUCUUUUUUCCUGUAGCAGUUUGGUGUACUUCUGGUUCAAAGGCUUGCUCAGCUGUUAAGCAGUUGAGUUUUAUCAACAUAGUGUGUCUCUGAAUGUAGUGCUGAGAUGAAAGUUUGUUGUCGAGGCAGAAAAAUUCAGUGUCUGCUUUCUCUCCCAAAUGCAGCCGCAGUUGCUGAGUGCAUUCCCAAGUCUUUGAAGCAAAUUUUUAAACAAUUGAGAGUUACACUUACUGUGGGUUUCCUACCUGGAUUCAUAUUUUUUCUAAUGUAAUUUUUAUAAUGUAAAUUAAAGAGUAUAAAGCAUCACAUAUAACUCAAUUUUUACAAAAUGUACUUAACUUUUUUAAUGUGCUGGGGAUCGAACUCAGGGCCUCGUGUGUGCUAAGUAAUGAACUUUUUAAGAACUUUAUGGAAGUAUGAAAACAACUAGCUUCAGUCCCAUACAUUUUAUAGUUGUCAUUUUAGUCAUUAUUUUGUUUCUUCUGUUAUUAAAUUAUAUGUACAACAGUACUUUUGAAGCAAUUCUUUUAAUCCUCACAACAACUAUUAAGUCACAUGUCUGGAGUUUCUACAACUUACGGAGAGCUGAAAUUCUGACUGGCUAACUUUAGAGUCUUUGCUAUUAACAAUCUUUCUAUAGCUGCUUUUUAAAUUAUUAUUUAAAAAGUGAAUUAAUGAUCUUCUCCAGUUCAUUUUUCUUAGCGUUGUUGAGAACUAGGAGUUUUACUUUCAUUUUAUUUUUUAGUUAAAAAUUUUUUGUUGGCAUGGGGUUUUGAACUCACAGCUUUGUGCUUGCUAGGUAGGCACUCUACCAAAUUUCUUUGAUCUCUGGAGAUAAAGAUAAAGGAUGUAGUUUAUAAUUUUGUAUGUACUUAUAUUCAUCAUAGUGCCUUUAUUUUUGACUAGACAGCUCAGAAUAGGGGUUGGCGUGAUACUCCUUAAAUACUCAUUAAUUUGAUAAAACAUCUACAGAUAAUAUUCAGUCACUGUUCAAUGCUGCUUGUGAGUUCCGUGACUGACUCCAUAAAAAUGUUGAGUAGUUGAAGAUUUAUCAGAUUUCUUAACUCAGUUGCCUAAAAAAUGUAGCUGUUGGAUUACUAUUUUGAAACAAAAUAGUCUUAAAAGAUUUGAAUAGGUGUUAACAGAUGUUUCAUAAAUUUUUGUUAAGACAAGAAUGCUUGCUUUACUACUUUGCUGGUUAUGAAGCCUACAUUUAGAAGAAUGAUUGAUGUUUAAAAAUGAGUUGGGUUUAAUUUUGUGUGAUAACUUAGGGCAGAGUAGCUGUGGUAAACAGUCUUACCGUGGAUGCAUUUAUUAGGUCCAAUAAUCACAGAAUGAUAGUUUAGCUUGUCUUUAGGAAAAAAUGGUUUUUCUGUUACAAAAAGUAAUGCCUGUUGUGAAAAUUUCAUAAAAACAAAUAAACAAUUAUAGUAAUGACGUUUCUGUUAAUGAUGGACUACAUCUAUGAUGGUGGUCCCAUAAGAUUAUAAUGGAGGUGAAAAACUAUCCACUAGUAAUGUGGUACCUGCUGUAGUGCAAAACAGUACUUAAAUGUUUGUGGUGAUGCUGCAAACCUGUUGCACUGCUAGUUAUAUAAUACAUAGCACCUACAUUAUGUGAAGUUCAAAAUACUUGGUGAUAGUGCUUGCGUAUAUAUUUAGUAUACUUUUUGUUACUAUUUUAGAGUGAACGAUUUACAUAAAAAAGUUUAGUGUAAAAUAAUAUGCUUUGUUACUUCCGCAGAAGCUUCAUAUAUCUGUGUUUGGCAUUUCUCUCUCUCUCUCUCUCUCUCUCUCUCUCUUUCUCUGAAUGAUGCAAGGGAUUAAACCCAGGGCCUUGCACAUGCUUGGCAAGUGCUCUGCCACUGAGUUACACCCCCAGACCCAAAUGUGUCAUGAUAUAUCAAGAGACCACAUUGAGUGAUUUACCUAUAGUGUAUUUAUGAUGUUUGCACAAUACAGUUGUUUAAUGGCACAUUUUUCAGAAUAUACCUAGCACUGUUGUUAGCUGUACAUGAUUGUACCUGGUACCUGCACUGUUGAAUUCCUUAAAAUUCUCCUCAGAGCUAUCUUGCCUUGGGAGAUGCUGGAACACAAAUGAUGGUUUUGUACUUCAAGUUUAAAGCCUUGGUUAGCAAGAGUGUUUCAUCUCCUAGAGUUACUAAGAUUUUUGUUCUUAAGUUUAAGAUAAAAAGUUGAACCAAAAGUAAUUGGACCCCCAUUUUUAAAUAGAGAAUAAUUAAAUGAAUAAGAGGUAAACGCCUACUUGAUAUGACCACCUAGUGUUACAUGAACUGGCAGGGAACAGCCCCCACCUUCUGAUGGAGUUGGGGUGAUACAAUGCUUCAAGAAGGCAAAGCCCAAGGUUCUGAUUGCAGGAAUGUACUUUCUGUUUGCAGGUAACCAGUGGGGAUUAGAAUAGGGUUUCCCAGGACAAGGUAUCUUUGAAGGUGUUCCAGAAAUUCCAGAGAAGCUACUAACCUUACACCUCUUGUGGGAUGAGAUAGAUGCCCCUGAAUCCCUGGUGAAGCAGAUGUCUUGGCCUGCAGUGACUCCAAAUCCUAUAAUCCUUCCAAUUUUCUCCUUUACUAAAUAAGUUUCAAAAAAGUGACAUUUUUAUUGUAAGUGAUUGACUUAAUUCAGGCAAAUAUUGCAGCUGAGCAAAGACUUCAUCCCAAUGAGGAAUAUUUUGCUCAGUUAAUGCUGAGUCCCAUGUUACUGUGUGAUCUGCUGAGUUUUUUCCUGCUCUUAAUUUUGUGAAAAUCUGCCCCCCAAAAGGCAAAUGGUACCAAAACAAGGACUAGGAAGAGGAGUGAGUCACAGACCUCUCUAGAAGGAGGAAUGGAAUGCUAAUCAUGAUCUACUAUUCUCUGCAGUGUUGGAAGAAUGCUUUGCUUGCCUGGAGUCAGGUGACUAUUUUGUUACUGAAGUAUGGUGGAACUCAGUAAUUUUAUGGAAUGUAAGAAAAAUUUCCUGUAUUUCCUAAUGUAACUUCUAAUAUUGAAGAGUGACAAAUUUGCAGUGUAACAUUUAAGUUUAGUAAAUAUUUCUUUUAAAGUACCCAAACCCUGCAUUUGAAUA